AAUCAGAAAUCGUUUGAUUCUCGGGAGAGGAAGACCCUUCCACAUUUGGUCUUAACUCGGAGUGUGAGGGUGUGGUUCUCGUAGGCCAUUACUUUGGGUGUAUGUUGCAGGCUGUGUAGUGCAGGCACAGCGGAGUCUUAAUCCCCAUCGUUGGCAGGCUGGAUCCAGGCAGCACAGGCCAGGUAAAGCCACCACAUCUGCCCUCAUCUCACCAGGCACGACUGUUCCAAAGAACUGGACGAGCUGGGCUCGUACUUCAUCCUUGAACUCAGAGUUCGUGACUUGUGAUUCAUCGUAGCAAUCUUGUGGCUCUCAGCCCUCAUCAUUUCGUCCGCGAUUCUGGACUGGCUUUUCGUCGAGAGUUCGCUCGCUUUACUUCGCGUCGUCGUCGAAGCCACCGCAGCUCGCUGAUCGCUCUUAGACGACUAUAUUCAUCGGACCAACGAUAGUCAUUGACGAUGUCGAAGGGGUCCUUAUUCUGAACUAUUUAAAUUAUAACCAGAUUAGAUAUACUACGGUCCAGUGUAGGUAUUCAUCCAAGUAUAAACCCUCUUUUGAUGAAACUUAAUU
Molecule: long non-coding RNA, 570 nt
Organism: Lytechinus variegatus (green sea urchin)
Lineage: Eukaryota; Metazoa; Echinodermata; Echinoidea; Temnopleuroida; Toxopneustidae
Exons: 2
Source: RefSeq, a predicted model, not a curated record